CGCGUAGGCGGACUAUUAAGUCAGGGGUGAAAUCCCGGGGCUCAACCCCGGAACUGCCCUUGAUACUGGUAGUCUUGAGUUCGAGAGAGGUGAGUGGAAUUCCGAGUGUAGAGGUGAAAUUCGUAGAUAUUCGGAGGAACACCAGUGGCGAAGGCGGCUCACUGGCUCGAUACUGACGCUGAGGUGCGAAAGUGUGGGGAGCAAACA
This 207-nucleotide ribosomal RNA is filed under the name uncultured bacterium. RNAcentral describes it as "partial 16S ribosomal RNA". It matches the Rfam family "Bacterial small subunit ribosomal RNA", at positions 568 to 774 of the family's 1533-position model. The record is from RNAcentral.